UACGGAGGGGGCAAGCGUUGUUCGGAAUUACUGGGCGUAAAGGGCGCGCAGGCGGCUGCUCAAGUCAGGCGUGAAAGGCCUGGGCUCCAACCCGGGAAUUGCGCUUGAGACUGGGCUGGGCUUGAGUGCGGGAGAGGAUGGUGGAAUUCCCAGUGUAGAGGUGAAAAUUCGUAGAUAUUGGGAAGAACACCGGUGGCGAAGGCGGCCAUCUGGACCGCAACUGACGCUGAGGCGCGAAAAGCGUGGGGAGCAAACAGGAU
This 260-nucleotide ribosomal RNA is filed under the name uncultured bacterium. RNAcentral describes it as "partial 16S ribosomal RNA". It matches the Rfam family "Bacterial small subunit ribosomal RNA", at positions 524 to 778 of the family's 1533-position model. The record is from RNAcentral.